UACGUAGGGGGCAAGCGUUGUCCGGAUUCAUUGGGCGUAAAGAGCGUGUAGGCGGCCAGGUAGGUCGGUUGUGAAAACUGGAGGCUCAACCUUCAGAGGUCGACCGAAACCCCCUAACUAGAGUCCGGAAGAGGAGAGUGGAAUUCCUGGUGUAGCGGUGAAAUGCGCAGAUAUCAGGAAGAACACCCGUGGCUAAGGCGGCUCUCUAGUACGGUACUGACGCUGAGACGCGAAAGCGUGGGGAGCGAACAGG
This 253-nucleotide ribosomal RNA is filed under the name uncultured bacterium. RNAcentral's name for it is "partial 16S ribosomal RNA". It matches the Rfam family "Bacterial small subunit ribosomal RNA", at positions 524 to 776 of the family's 1533-position model. The record is from RNAcentral.